GAUGAACGCUGCCUGCGUGCCUAAUACAUGCAAGUCGAGCGAACGGACGAGAAGCUUGCUUCUCUGAUGUUAGCGGCGGACGGGUGAGUAACACGUGGAUAACCUACCUAUAAGACUGGGAUAACUUCGGGAAACCGGAGCUAAUACCGGAUAAUAUUUUGAACCGCAUGGUUCAAAAGUGAAAGACGGUCUUGCUGUCACUUAUAGAUGGAUCCGCGCUGCAUUAGCUAGUUGGUAAGGUAACGGCUUACCAAGGCAACGAUGCAUAGCCGACCUGAGAGGGUGAUCGGCCACACUGGAACUGAGACACGGUCCAGACUCCUACGGGAGGCAGCAGUAGGGAAUCUUCCGCAAUGGGCGAAAGCCUGACGGAGCAACGCCGCGUGAGUGAUGAAGGUCUUCGGAUCGUAAAACUCUGUUAUUAGGGAAGAACAUAUGUGUAAGUAACUGUGCACAUCUUGACGGUACCUAAUCAGAAAGCCACGGCUAACUACGUGCCAGCAGCCGCGGUAAUACGUAGGUGGCAAGCGUUAUCCGGAAUUAUUGGGCGUAAAGCGCGCGUAGGCGGUUUUUUAAGUCUGAUGUGAAAGCCCACGGCUCAACCGUGGAGGGUCAUUGGAAACUGGAAAACUUGAGUGCAGAAGAGGAAAGUGGAAUUCCAUGUGUAGCGGUGAAAUGCGCAGAGAUGUGGAGGAACACCAGUGGCGAAGGCGACUUUCUGGUCUGUAACUGACGCUGAUGUGCGAAAGCGUGGGGAUCAAACAGGAUUAGAUACCCUGGUAGUCCACGCCGUAAACGAUGAGUGCUAAGUGUUAGGGGGUUUCCGCCCCUUAGUGCUGCAGCUAACGCAUUAAGCACUCCGCCUGGGGAGUACGACCGCAAGGUUGAAACUCAAAGGAAUUGACGGGGACCCGCACAAGCGGUGGAGCAUGUGGUUUAAUUCGAAGCAACGCGAAGAACCUUACCAAAUCUUGACAUCCUUUGACAACUCUAGAGAUAGAGCCUUCCCCUUCGGGGGACAAAGUGACAGGUGGUGCAUGGUUGUCGUCAGCUCGUGUCGUGAGAUGUUGGGUUAAGUCCCGCAACGAGCGCAACCCUUAAGCUUAGUUGCCAUCAUUAAGUUGGGCACUCUAAGUUGACUGCCGGUGACAAACCGGAGGAAGGUGGGGAUGACGUCAAAUCAUCAUGCCCCUUAUGAUUUGGGCUACACACGUGCUACAAUGGACAAUACAAAGGGCAGCGAAACCGCGAGGUCAAGCAAAUCCCAUAAAGUUGUUCUCAGUUCGGAUUGUAGUCUGCAACUCGACUACAUGAAGCUGGAAUCGCUAGUAAUCGUAGAUCAGCAUGCUACGGUGAAUACGUUCCCGGGUCU
Molecule: ribosomal RNA, 1372 nt
Filed under: uncultured bacterium
Lineage: Bacteria
Description: bacterial SSU rRNA
Rfam family: Bacterial small subunit ribosomal RNA
Source: RNAcentral